GACCAUAGGCGUGAUCAUCGUCAUCGUCAUCUUCGUCAUUGUUUUCAUCGUCAGAGCCUUCGAGAUGAAACACAAAGCUACGAGGAUAAGAGAAACGCACAACGAUUCCACGCGACGUCCAGGCAGCGAUGCUGAUGAUGAAGCCAACUACGAAGACCCGGAGGACGCUUGGCCCGGUGCAGAAAAAAUCAACCAACUCGUUUCGCAAUGCGACCUGCCGGGGACCGCCUCGUGCCAUGACCAGG
Lethenteron reissneri (Far Eastern brook lamprey) is the source of this 245-nucleotide long non-coding RNA. RefSeq lists it as uncharacterized. The record is from RefSeq and is a predicted model, not a curated record. NCBI's taxonomy places the organism in Eukaryota, Metazoa, Chordata, Hyperoartia, Petromyzontiformes, Petromyzontidae.